RNAcentral lists this transfer RNA (62 nucleotides) under Megalurothrips usitatus (bean blossom thrips). Its description in RNAcentral is "tRNA-Lys". The record is from RNAcentral. Lineage: Eukaryota; Metazoa; Arthropoda; Insecta; Thysanoptera; Thripidae.
CUUAAAAUAAGUUAAUAAAACUAUUGAAUUUUUACUUCAAUUUUACCAUUAGGUUUUUAAGA